AUACUUACCUGGGAGGGCAGAUACCAUGAUCACGAAGGUGGUUUUCCCAGGCAGGGUUGCACUUCGGUUGUGUUGACCCCUGAAAUUUCCCCAAAUGCGGGAAACUCCACUGCAUAAUUUGUGGUAGUGGGGGACUGCAUUUGCACUCUCCCU
This 153-nucleotide small nuclear RNA is filed under the name Jaculus jaculus (lesser Egyptian jerboa). RNAcentral's name for it is "U1 spliceosomal RNA (ENSJJAG00000004233.1)". It matches the Rfam family "U1 spliceosomal RNA". From Rfam's summary of the family: U1 is a small nuclear RNA (snRNA) component of the spliceosome (involved in pre-mRNA splicing). Lineage: Eukaryota; Metazoa; Chordata; Mammalia; Rodentia; Dipodidae. The record is from Rfam by way of RNAcentral.